Molecule: ribosomal RNA, 504 nt
Filed under: uncultured bacterium
Lineage: Bacteria
Description: bacterial SSU rRNA
Rfam family: Bacterial small subunit ribosomal RNA
Source: RNAcentral
AUUGAACGCUGGCGGCGUGCUUAACACAUGCAAGUCGAUCGGUAACAGGUGUAGCAAUACAUGCUGACGAGAGGCGGACGGGUGAGGAAUGUUUGGGAAUCUGCCCAUCAGCGGGGGACAACCCGGGGAAACCCGGGCUAAUACCGCAUACGCUCUACGGAGGAAAGCCGGGGACCGCAAGGCCUGGCACUGAUGGAUGAGCCCAAAUCGGAUUAGCUAGUUGGCGGGGUAACGGCCCACCAAGGCUACGAUCCGUAGCUGGUCUGAGAGGACGAUCAGCCACACCGGAACUGAGACACGGUCCGGACUCCUACGGGAGGCAGCAGUGGGAAUAUUGGACAAUGGGCGAAAGCCUGAUCCAGCGACGCCGCGUGGGUGAAGAAGGCCUGCGGGUUGUAAAGCCCUUUCGGUAGGGACGAAAACCUUCGACUUAACACGUCGAGGGAUUGACUUAACCUACAUAAGAAGCACCGGCUAACUCUGUGCCAGCAGCCGCCGUAAGAC